RNAcentral lists this ribosomal RNA (497 nucleotides) under uncultured bacterium. RNAcentral's name for it is "partial 16S ribosomal RNA". It matches the Rfam family "Bacterial small subunit ribosomal RNA", at positions 28 to 507 of the family's 1533-position model. The record is from RNAcentral.
GAUGAACGCUGGCGGCGUGCCUAAUACAUGCAAGUCGAGCGAACGGACGAGAAGCUUGCUUCUCUGAUGUUAGCGGCGGACGGGUGAGUAACACGUGGAUAACCUACCUAUAAGACUGGGAUAACUUCGGGAAACCGGAGCUAAUACCGGAUAAUAUUUUGAACCGCAUGGUUCAAAAGUGAAAGACGGUCUUGCUGUCACUUAUAGAUGGAUCCGCGCUGCAUUAGCUAGUUGGUAAGGUAACGGCUUACCAAGGCAACGAUGCAUAGCCGACCUGAGAGGGUGAUCGGCAACAUGGGAACGGCGACACGGUCCAGCCUCCUCCGGGAGGCAGCAGUAGGGAAUCUUCCGCAAUGGGCGAAAGCCUGACGGAGCAACGCCGCGUGAGUGAUGAAGGUCUUCGGAUCGUAAAACUCUGUUAUUAGGGAAGAACAUAUGUGUAAGUAACUGUGCACAUCUUGACGGUACCUAAUCAGAAAGCCACGGCUAACUACGUG